GAUCCAUCUGUUUCACCAGAAGGAAAUCCCACGGUUCAUGGCGAUCCAUCUGUUUCACCAGAAGGAAAUCCCACGGUUCAUGGCGAUCCAUCUGUUUCACCAGAAGGUAAGAGUCAACAUCAGCUAUGGAAGCUCUAUAUCCACAUCAUUAAACAU
Long non-coding RNA from Oreochromis niloticus (Nile tilapia), 156 nucleotides. RefSeq lists it as uncharacterized. The record is from RefSeq and is a predicted model, not a curated record. NCBI's taxonomy places the organism in Eukaryota, Metazoa, Chordata, Actinopteri, Cichliformes, Cichlidae. The transcript has 3 exons.